GCGUAUAAGCGCACUUCACUUUGCACAUCAUGUAUUCGAUAAAAGUCCUGUUCAUAUUUCUAGAACAAAUGUCUAUUGAUUCAAAUCCUUAAUUUCCCUACAAUUGAAAGCGAUGUAUGUUUUAAAGUGCAUGUGCUCAGAGACUUGACAGAGAAUAGAGAUGCAAACAGUUUCACUUUCGAGAAUAAAUCAAAUUGGUUAGCUUUUAUUGUAGCAUGUAGAAGAAAUGCUUGUUGGAUUGUUGCUAUGUCUGCUACAGUUACAAUAGUUGAAGAUAGACUAUCAAGUAUUUGAAUUAAUGUAGAAAAGAGACAUCUAUAUGAUUGAGAGAAGUUGAUAAUCAAGUUGACGUCAAAAGGUUGGUGAUCAAGUGUAAUAUUGAUACAUUCAAACUUACAUCUCAAUUAAGAAGUACAAACGGUCGAAGUCAAUUAUAGAACUCAACUGGAGUUCGUCAACCCCUCCGUAGUCCCACACUUAGACAGUGGUGUCUCCCUUCACUGUUGGUCGUCACGAGCUACUAGACAGCUCGUCUUAAGCACCGGCCAUGGUCCGUCUAGUGCUCCGUUGACUUCAGUUUUCACUUAGGUAGCUAGUGGUUCCACUGUCACUCUCCACGAGCCAUAAGAUGGCUCGUCUAAUGGACCACGGCUCGUCUGGGGCCUCGUGGUGUUAGACUUGAACUCUAUUCUUUCCAAAUCACUCCCACGAGCAUCUUCACGGCUCGUGCAACACUUCACGACUCGUGUAGCCUUUCGUAUAGCUUCUUGCACUUCAUUUCCCAUCUUUCUUCUUGUCCUUUGCAUCUAAGUGUUUCACCUGUACAACAUAAAAGAAACCAUCAUAUCCACAUAAACAAGCUCGACUUCUCACACUAAUCCUUAGUUUUGAGCGUCAAAUGUUCUAUGAGUUCACGACACAUCAACAAAUGAUCAUCAUGAUUCAUGAUUCUUAUGUAAGUGGUCAUGUUUUUGCUGAGUAUUCCGUGCUUGUGAAAAGUAGGAAUUAUGUCGAUCUAGAACAACAAAUUUCCUCUAGCUCCUGUCAUACCUGAGAUUAUACAUGAUGAUCAUCGUGAAACAAAGGGAAUAAUAUCAAAUGUAUCCUCCUCUGCUGCUUGACAGCCUAAGGAGAAGAUGAUCAUGCAAAAAAAUAGCUAGGGGAAAUGUGUUGGCUCUUUAGAGGAGGGUGAAGUGUUCAUGCUCCGAAUUGAGAUCGAACAUAUCUUAGAUUAAUAAUUAGUAUUAAAUUCAUUUUUAAUCUGACAUAUUUUUAUUGAUUUUCUAAAGAAUAUCAGGGCCCGUGGAGUAGAAGUCGAGUUUAUUACUGCACAACUAUGCACAGAGAGUAGAGUUGGAUUUUGCAGGAACUCAGUGCAAGUGUAAGUCCACGGAAUAAGAAAUUCAAUGGUGUUGGUGUUUCUCUGGCUAUUUACCUAUUGACAAUUGCUAAUGUCAUAUCUUAUCAUAUAAUGUUAUGCAACUAUAUUGAUUGUAUAUUUGUGUCAUCUUUUUAGACACUCAGAUAUGAUGGUUGCUACCUUUUUCUUCAGUGGAUCGAGCGUAAGGAUGUAAGUUACCCAUGUUCUCCUUCCAAUUUUAGUACGGAUUAAUGUGGUGUUAAUGUAUGUAUGCUAGAUAGUAGAUGAAAAAAUAUCAAUGAAAUUUUCAAAUUUGUGUGUUAUAUAUAUCUUAUUUGUGCUUAUAUUAUAAUAACCUAAAACAGGAACUAGACAGAAUUAAUAGCCAACAACAGAAGACAUUUAGAGUAUAUUAUAUUUUGUUUUUCUUGCACCACUAAUGGAAGAGAAGUCUUUAGAGGAAAAGAAGUUGCAGUUAGCUGUAUUAUGAGAUUUUUUGUUAUGUUCAUAUUUUUGGCAUAAAAAUUAUUGAGCUCUUUGGUUGUACAUUUGCUUUAUGCUCUCAGAAGACACUUGGUGCUUCCCAUGAAAUGAUAUUUAUAUCCUCUUUUGGUAAAGGAAUUUUUUUCUAGCAAUAGAUAAUGCUUGUAAGAUCCUUGGUAAAAGUUAUAAAUCUUGUGCUUGGUGUAUUGUGAUAUGUACUGAUUGAGACGCUAAUAAAAUAAAAUUAAUUUUUUUUCAAAUAAGAAGUUAUUUAUAGUCGUUGAGGUACCUACCUUUUCACUCAACUUUUAAGACUAUGAUCUAAAGCAACUUCACGUUGAUAUAUAUUGAAAUAAAUAUCGGACAUUCAUAAAUAUUGGGCAUGUACGUUCACGAGUAAUUAUCAAUUUAUAUUUAUAUAUGUGAAUGCCUAGAAAAGAAUAUAUAAUAAGUAGUUAAUAGUUAUUGAAAGUUACCAAAUAAUUAGCAUAGGUAAAUUAAUAGAAAAAAUCACUCUAGCAUUCCACUUUAUUGUCGUAAUUAAAGGUUUGUAACAAUCAAAAUAAUUAGGAAAAAUUACUGAAAUACACGUCUUAUGUUUUCCUUAUUUCUAAUAUUUCCUUCUAUUUCUAAAAACCUCUAAAAUUCCUUAUUUCUCUCCUAAUUCUAAAUUAUUUUAUAAUGUAUCCGAGCUAGUUUUUAAUGUAUUCGAGCUAGUUUUUAAUUGUAUCCGAGCUACAUAUUAUGUAUUCGGUUUAUUUUAUAAUGUAUCUGAGCUACAUAUCAUGUAUCCAGUUUAUUUUAUAAUGUAUCCGAGCUAGUUUUUAAUGUAUCCGAGCUACAUAUUAUGUAUCCGGUUUGUUUUAAUUUUUCAGGGAUUAAUGUAAUUAUAAACUAAAUAGGGAUAGAUUGUAAUUUCAUAUUAAAACUAUGUGAUUCCUAAAAUUUAUACUAAACAAGGAAAUUUCUAAUUCGGUUAACUUUUGACUUCACGAUUGUUAAUGAUCGACAACAUUGGAUUUUUAUUGAUCAUUACUAGUGGUGGCAAAUGGGCGGGUUGAGUCAAAUUUGGGCGGGUUGAAAAUGGAUCAACAUAAAAUGGGUAAUAAUUCAAAUCACCCAUAUUUGAUAUGGGUAAAAAAGGAUUGGGUAACAAAUGGGUUGGGUAAAAUACUAGUUUAGCCAUAUUUUCAUUUGUAAAUAGUACUCUACUUAAGAAUUCAACAUGGAGAAAAUAUUUUAGUCCUUUUUUAGAUGAAAAAUGUUGAAAAUGCUUCUUUUAGUUUUAUUGUAUCAUAAAAGUAAAAAAAAAUCCUAACUUUUCAAUAUAAAAUAAAUUUAUGUAACAACAAGGAGUAAAUAUUUUUAAUUUCAAAGUAAAUGAAUAGUUGCAUUUUAGGACUAAAACAUGCUUAAUGUACUUUAACCAAGAUCAAUACUAAUGCAUGAUUUGCUUAUUUUACACUAUUAUUUAUUAUCCAAUAUAAAAUCGAACAAAUAAAAAUAUAUAAUUAUAAUUAACAAAAGAAAUGUACAUUUAAAAUAUAUUUUUUGGAGGGACAAAGACUCCACCUUUUCAAUUAUAGAGAAAAAUAAUUAGUUCUAUAGAAGCACAUAAAAAGGAAGAGAAGUUACAAUUUCUUUUUAGUGAUAUCAUGAAUUUUGAGUGAAUAAAAGUUAUAAGUUUAACUCAUUCAGUUAAUCCAUACUUUACUCAUAUUUUACCCAUAUUUUUAUGGGUUGAAUAUUGGUAUCAACCCAUAUUUUACCCAUGUAAAAAGUCACUCACCCAACCCAUUAAAAUAUGAGCGGGUUGGGUGGGUUACCAAAAUAUGGGCUCAUUUUGCCGGCGUUAAUCAUUACUGACUAAUAACGAUCAGAUUAGAAUUUUUAACAAUUGCAUUUUCUCUUACUAAAAUGACCUUUUUCCUUGUAGCAUUCAUUGUACGAGAAUAAAUGAGGGUGAGGAGGGGCGUGUUUAUUAUCAAAACCCAAUUCAAAUUCAUGUUAGGGCGAUCAACUAUAGAAGUGUAACGAUCUUUUUUGGUAGUUAUGGGUAGAGCAAUGGUAAAAGAAUUAAGUCAAAAAACUUUUGUAUAGUGUCUGAAAAAUCUAGGCUAGGCCAGUAUUAGAUGGAAUCUGAACAAUGUGAGGUCUAGGGUAAUUCGAGAAUGGAUUGGGUGGUAUGUCUAAACUUGGAUCAGAUUUCCUAGUAGCUAGGACAUUAAGGAAUUCACAUGGCCUUUCAAAAUCGAAUUCAGGUGAGUAAAACUCUCGGUAUCAAAUUUGGCGUUAAGGGACUAAUAUAGAACAUCAAGAUUCAAAGGUGUUUUGCGAAAUGAGGGUUUUAGGGAGGAUUUAUGAGUGUCUAUCUCCAUGCAAGUUGUUAUAGUAGGUAUCGUGCCGAUGUAGGGGAAUAAAUUAAUUUUCUCUAUAGCGGGUGGACAGGUAUGGCGAUGCCGCUUAGCGGGUGGGGCCGCUGUAGCGGGGUUAGUCGGGUUUUUGUGCAUAAAAAGUCUCAAAACCUCUUAUUUUCUACAACUUUGUUCUUGGGAAAAGGAAGGGCGAUAUAUUGCAGCUUUCUUCAUUUUCUCCACCAAGAUAUUCGAUAAAGGUAAGUUAAUUACUUCCCCAACUUGUAUGAUUCUUAAUCCUUAGAAUCUAAGGUGUUACUCUUGGGGAAGGGUUAUAGCCUGAAUUAAUGGUGGAAAAGACCCUUGUUGGGUGGAUGAUCAUGAGAAUUGCUUGGGGUUUAAGAUUUGAUUGUAGUCUGAGUAUGAUUGGGACAUUAUUCAUUAAUUGUUAUGUUAAUUUAUUGUUUUAGACCACGAACAAGUCGUAAUUCAUAACAAGGGGAGAACUCAAGUUCUUUAGAGUUUCCAAGACUUGAUUCGAGGUAGGUGGUGGUUGUAUGUUUUUUCCGUUUACGCUAUAUGUGCUUAUUAACUGUGUUGUUAGUAAUGCAUGCAUGAUAUAUGAUUAGGGAAAUGAGAAAGAUAUGUUGUGAAUUGAAAGAUGUUUUCAGUCACAUGCAAUGAAUGAGUUACAUGUGUGAUUGUGUUUCAUUGUGGUUGUGAUUACGUUGUGUUGAAGAUUAGGAUCGGGUACCACGUCGACACAUACUAUUGUUGGAACGGGUACCACACCGGCACACUAACAUCUGAAACAGGUGUCAAGCCGGUACAAGGGGAACAUGUACCACACUGGUACACUAACUAUGAGAUUGGAUACACCGUUACACUAAUAGUUUGUAUGUGUGGGUUCCAUGAGAGAACUAAGCUAACUUGUUGUGAUGUAAUGGUUUAUGUUUAUUGUGUAUAUCAAUUAAAGGUAAGGAACGAGAGUCCGAGCUAUGUUGUACUUAUGUUUGUGACGGUAUAUUAUUUGAUUACUACGUUGUGGUUGCCUAUGCAUAUUUCAUAUACUAGAGCUAGUUGAUGAUCAUACCAGUACGUUGUGGUUGUGUACUGAUACUAUACUUGAUCUUUCUUUGUUGAGUACAAGGCAUAUGCAUGCGGCUGCUUUGAGAUCUUAGUUGUGAGAUGCACGACAUUUGAUCCAAUGGUGAGAUACCUCUUCUGAGCUGAUAUGGAUUCUUCCCUACCUUGUUGUUCAUCUUUUCGAACAUAAACAUUUUAGACUUUAAAUUUAUGUUUUCUAGUUGGGGUUGCAUUCUCUUAUCCUAGAUUUGUG
This 5536-nucleotide long non-coding RNA is filed under the name Solanum tuberosum (potato). RNAcentral describes it as "long non-coding RNA (STUB_LNC009741)". Lineage: Eukaryota; Viridiplantae; Streptophyta; Magnoliopsida; Solanales; Solanaceae. The record is from RNAcentral.